Molecule: RNA transcript, 3819 nt
Organism: Nymphaea colorata (pocket water lily)
Lineage: Eukaryota; Viridiplantae; Streptophyta; Magnoliopsida; Nymphaeales; Nymphaeaceae
Exons: 3
Source: RefSeq, a predicted model, not a curated record
CGCCCUGGGUAGGUUCAGGCAGCUUCUCCUUUCCGAGAUUCGUUCUCCAAGCGCCUCCAUCAAUCUCUCAUCUUCGGCGGCGGGGUUCCGAACAAGAGCCAGAGUUUUCUGGGAAGCUCAGUCGCCCCAUCCUGCCGUACUCUUUCUCUCUCUCUGUCAAUAGGUGUUUGUGAAAGAUAUUGAUUGCAGAAGUGAAUUCUUCUGUAACAGGUAAAAGGGAAGGUACCCAGUGACCGACCCCCUUUUGUGUUCCUGAGGCAUGGAGACUUCUGGUGUUUCCGUCUCCUCUAGCGUCUCAGCAUCUCGCCCUCCUCCUAAAAGAUUCGUAAGGCAGCAAGUGCCGGAUUCAAUCUUGAACGACCCUGCGCUGAAGGCGGCCAUGUCCCUUCUUCCUUCCAACUACAAUCUGGAGGUUCCUAAGUGCAUCUGGAGGAUACGCCAAUCGGGGGCGAAGCGCGUGGCGCUUCAGUUCCCCGAGGGCUUGCUAAUGUAUUCACUGGUUAUCUGCGACAUCUUAGAGGCUUUUUCUGAUGUACAGGAAUGUUUUGUUCUUGGUGAUGUGACUUACGGUGCCUGCUGCAUUGAUGAUUUCUCUGCUUCUGCUCUCGGUGCUGAACUUCUGAUUCAUUAUGGUCAUAGCUGUUUGGUCCCCAUAGACGUAACUAGCAUUCCCUGCUUGUAUGUGUUUGUCGAUAUACAGAUUGAUGUAAAGCAUUUAGUUGAUACCGUAAAGAACCAAUUUGCACCUCACAUGAAGCUUGCAAUGGCGGGAACCAUCCAGUUUUCUUCUGCCAUCCAUGCCGCGAAAGCUGCCCUUGAAAGUGAUGCGGAUGCCGAUGCCUGUAGGCAGAUAAUUGUGCCCCAAUCAAAGCCAUUAUCAUCUGGGGAAGUAUUGGGGUGCACCUCUCCUUCUUUGCCCAAGGGAUCUGUGGACGCUGUAGUGUUUGUUGCAGACGGGCGGUUUCAUCUAGAAGCUUUUAUGAUUGCUAAUCCUGAGGUUGAAGCCUACCGCUAUGACCCUUACCUUAAGGUUUUGUUCUUAGAGAAGUAUGACCACAAUGGCAUGAAAGAAGCACGUAAGAAAGCCAUUCUUCAAGCUCGGGGAUCUCGGGUGUGGGGCGUUGUUCUCGGCACAUUAGGGCACCAGGGAAACCCUAGGACUCUUGAACAUGUACAGCGACGUCUGGCAGAGAAGGGGUAUGUGUCGAUGCUGGUUCUCUUGUCUGAGGUAACACCUUCUAAGAUCGCUUUGUUUGAGGAUUCUAUAGAUGCUUGGAUACAGAUAGCUUGUCCUCGUCUUUCGAUCGACUGGGGAGAGUCAUUCACUAAGCCCUUGCUUACACCAUUUGAGGCUGAAGUUGCACUUGGCUUUGUACACCCUUGGUGGGAAAAGAAAACUUCCUCUGUUGGUAAGGAAUGUAAAGUUGAUAGUUGUAAUGAGUGCUUGCCUUGCGGUAAAACUUCUGGUGUAUGUGCUGACGAAGCAAGUAAAACAGUGCUGCAGAGGGAAGAGCCUCAAAAGCAGGGAGAGAAUCAUGUAAAUGAUUAUCCAAUGGACUAUUAUGCUCAGGAUGGAGGACCAUGGAAUUCCUCGUAUGCUAGGAAGAAGGCUGCACAAGCUAGGUUAAAUAAGCUUUCUACUUCAGGUGGUACUGUGACCCUGUGAUUAGUUGUCAUGGAUGUGGUUAAUCCUAGUCCCUUGUCAUAUUAUUCUGUGCCUAAUGGGUCUAGAAAGCAAGGCAUGGAAAUUGAAACCUUAAGUUGGAGGCUGCAUCUUGGCUUCCUAGAGUCAUCUCUCUUUUCUGGUAGCCAUGGAGAGUCGUCCCAUGUCUCAAAGAAGGUUUAUUGGGCAAUCGACCUCUCUGGUUCUACUCAUAGUUCGAAGGAUUGAACAAACAGUGUCGAUAGUUGCGCUCACCAGAUCGGGUACCUUAUAGUGGGAUCAGCUUCGGCAACUUCGUCAAUCUACAUGGAAGAUUGGUUACAUGGUGGUUGUGACAGGCAUCUAUUGUUCAGGUUAAUCAGUACCAGCUGCAGUAUUACUGGAGUUGGUCUUAUAAAUUUGAAAGGAGACGAUGUAUGUUUGAUAUUUUAGGACGUAUUUCUAGUAAGCAUUUUCAAAUAAUCACUUACAUUGUCAGCAUUUUCGUCAUUUCAGUUCAAAAACGAGCAUUUUUGGAUGAUCAGACGAAUUCUCGAAAAAGUUCACUGUGCUUGAGACUUGUGCAUAAACGAGCAUUUUUGCAUGAUCAGACGAAUUCUCGAAAAAGUUCACUGUGCUUGAGAGACUUGUGCAUUUACCGAUCCAUCCCCUUCAGGAGGAUGGAAAAAAUCAUCCGGAGAGGCUAUCUGGGUGAGGGUUAUUUGUUUUCUGUAUGGGUGUAGAUACAUGAAAGGGUUUGGAAUGGUUCGUUUCUAUUCUUUCCUGUAGUUGGGUUCUGACAACAAUGGGAAGGGCCCACCAAGGUAGACAUUUGUUGAUCGAUGUACUUUUCAAACAGGUGCUUGUCUCAAACUCUUAGAUCGCUUAGUGUGAGCGCUUUAUCAUUCUGAUCUUAUGAAGAAAAUUAGUAUUGAAUCUGAUUCCAUUUACAGGAGUCGCAUAUUUUCUGGUGCAAACUUGUAAAGUAAUCUUUUGUGUUUCUUCUAUGAUAAAGCAACUUGGUUGCUCUAAUCCAUCUUUUCUGUCGUGAAAAUAAUAUUUCACUCCACUCCUUCCUCUUCUUUACUCAUAGCAAAUGGUGGUGCCUGCCUAGUGCUUUUGUUGCUAUGUUAUCCGAUUGCUUUAAAAGAUUAAAAUGGAUUUGGAGAGCAACAAGAAACAACUUGGGUUCUCAUCUGAGCAGAUCCCGUAUUUGUAUUUUCUGAUGGUAUAAUUUCACUUUACUCCUUCCUCUUGUAUACUUGAAGAGCAAAUUGUGAUAUCUGGGUAUGUACUGUUGUUACUCUAUUUAUAUUCCCAUGUACUUUGAAGUUGGAAAAUGAAUUUGAAAAGCAAAAAUUGUUGCACUGAAAUUUAGACGCUGGAUACUUGGAAAAAUUUCCAAGAUGAUUGGUUCCUAUUGUUAUUGGACCAUUGUGGAGAAAUUAUCAGAUAAGCCAUGUGUGGACAGCCUGACCGGUUCUUUGAUCAACAACUGUAAUUUAUUCUCCAUUGAUCAGCUAAACCUCCUAUCACCCCCAUGAUGUUUCAGAUGUCUGGCGUAUAGUCCUUAUUUGCCUUCACUUUCCAAUCACUUUUCACCAAAAGCGUCUCUAUUUUCUCACCUGGUUUGUCUUGCAGCUAUUUUCCCUGAUCAGGAACUUUCACAAUUUCUAUGAGCAAUGGUUGAACUUCACUUUGCUUUAGGGUCUUCCAUCUUCUGAGGGUUGAAGGAUGCUCUUACUGCUCUUACUGACUGGAUCUGAAUUCUCAUGUAAAACAUUUAUUUCGACAGGAGUGAACCCUAAGCUCUUCUGCAGCUUCCAUGUCUUUCGUAGGCCUUACGGUUAAAUGGACGUCAGUUAAAUGAGACUGAAUAUGUAGAAGCAUGUUUGUCCUGACGAGUUGCAGUUUGAAAAAUCAUUAGCCACACGUUUCAGCAAAGCUCCAUGCUGUUCAUGGGCACCACAGUUGAGUGUUAGACAAAUGCCUGUUUUCACUUCUCGGACAAUCAAGACAUUCUAGUUGAAUCUUUACAACUGAAGCAGAAGUGACCACUAGACACUGCAUAACAAUGCUCAACGUGAACGCAUGAUUGGACUGGUAGGCAUACCACACCAUCUGGACGGGGUAGAACCAGGGGUACAUCUUGCCUGCCUCCAUUUUCAACAUGAAGA